CGCGAAUGGCUCAUUACAACAGCUGUUGUUUCUUGGAUCUUGAUUUACUUGGAUAACUGUGGUAAUUCUAGAGCUAAUACAUGCAACCAAGCUCCGACCUUUGGGAAGGAAUGCACUUAUUAGACCAAGACCAAUCAGACUUUAUCUGGAAUCUGGUGACCCUGAAUAACUUUGCUGAUCACACAGUCCUAGCACUGGUGACAUAUCUUUCAAGUGUCUGCCCUAUCAACUUACGAUGGUAUGUUAUAUGCCUACCAUGGUAGUAACGGGUAACGGAGAAUAAGGGUUCGACUCCGGAGAGGGAGCCUGAGAAAUGGCUACCACAUCCAAGGAAGGCAGCAGGCGCGCAAAUUACCCACUCUUGGUUCAAGGAGGUAGUGACGAAAAAUAACGAGAUAGUUCUCUAUGAGGCCCAUCAUCGGAAUGGAUACAAUUUAAACCCUUUAAUGAGGAUCGAUUGGAGGGCAAGUCUGGUGCCAGCAGCCGCGAUAAUUCCAGCUCCAAUAGCGUAUGCCAUCGAUAUUGCUGUUAAAAUGCCCGUAGUUUGACUAUCUCCGAAGACGGAGAGCAUUCCUGUAAUGUCUACUCUGCUCUGAGGAUGCUUUUAGCUGGUUUUCUCAUGGUGCUCUUUACCGGGUGUCAUGGGUGGCUAGCACAUUUACUUUGAAAAAAUUAGAGUGCUCAAAACAGGCGUUACUGCCCGAAUGGUGGUGCAUGGAAUAAUAAAAUAGAAUCUCGGUUCUAUUUUGUUGGUUUUAGGGGCGCGAGAUAAUGAUUAAAAGGGACGGACGGGGGCAUUUGUAUUGUGGCGUUAGAGGUGAAAUUCUUGGAUCGCUGCAAGACGAACAACUGCGAAAGCAUUUGCCAAGAAUGUUUUCAUUAAUCAAGGACGAAAGUUAGAGGUUCGAAGGCGAUCAGAUACCGCCC
This 927-nucleotide ribosomal RNA is filed under the name Desmodora pontica. RNAcentral describes it as "bacterial SSU rRNA". It matches the Rfam family "Eukaryotic small subunit ribosomal RNA", at positions 88 to 1020 of the family's 1831-position model. Lineage: Eukaryota; Metazoa; Nematoda; Chromadorea; Desmodorida; Desmodoridae. The record is from RNAcentral.